GGAAGUUAAGAAAAUGUUUCUUAACUUUUAACUAAAAAAGCUAAGAACCGGUUCUUAAAUAAGGACUUUAAGAACCGGUUCAUUUAAGAACCGGUUCUUAGCUAUUUUAGUUAAAAGUUAAGAAACAGUUUCUUAACUUCC
Brassica oleracea var. oleracea is the source of this 141-nucleotide microRNA precursor. It matches the Rfam family "MIR9563 microRNA precursor family". The record is from Rfam. NCBI's taxonomy places the organism in Eukaryota, Viridiplantae, Streptophyta, Magnoliopsida, Brassicales, Brassicaceae.